UCAUCCUACGGGAGGCAGCAGUAGGGAAUCUUCCACAAUGGACGAAAGCCUGAUGGAGCAACGCCGCGUGAGUGACGAAGGGUUUCGGCUCGUUAAGCUCUGUUGGUAGUGAAGAAAGAUAGAGGUAGUAACUUGCCUUUAUUUGACGGUAAUUACUUAGAAAGUCACGGCUAACUACGUGCCAGCAGCCGCGGUAAUACGUAGGUGGCAAGCGUUGUCCGGAUUUAUUGGGCGUAAAGCG
RNAcentral lists this ribosomal RNA (241 nucleotides) under uncultured bacterium. Its description in RNAcentral is "partial 16S ribosomal RNA". It matches the Rfam family "Bacterial small subunit ribosomal RNA", at positions 334 to 567 of the family's 1533-position model. The record is from RNAcentral.